CGCGGCCUAUCAGCUUGUUGGUGAGGUAACGGCUCACCAAGGCAUCGACGGGUAGCUGGUCUGAGAGGACGAUCAGCCACACUGGGACUGAGACACGGCCCAGACUCCUACGGGAGGCAGCAGUAGGGAAUCUUGCGCAAUGGGCGAAAGCCUGACGCAGCAACGCCGCGUGGGGGAAGAAGGCUCUAGGGUCGUAAACCCCUUUCAGCAGGGACGAAAAUGACGGUACCUGCAGAAGAAGCGCCGGCCAACUACGUGCCAGCAGCCGCGGUAAUACGUAGGGCGCAAGCGUUGUCCGGAUUUAUUGGGCGUAAAGGGCUCGUAGGCGGUUUGGUAAGUCGGGUGUGAAAACUCAGGGCUCAACUCUGAGACGCCACUCGAUACUGCCAUGACUAGAGUCCGGUAGGGGAGUGCGGAAUUCCUGGUGUAGCGGUGAAAUGCGCAGAUAUUAGGAGGAACACCGACGGCGAAGGCAGCACUCUGGGCCGGUACUGACGCUCAGGAGCGAAAGCGUGGGUAGCAAACAGGAUUAGAUACCCUGGUAGUCCACGCCGUAAACGUUGGGCACUAGGUGUGGGGCCUUAUCAACGGGUUCCGUGCCGUAGCUAACGCAUUAAGUGCCCCGCCUGGGGAGUACGG
Molecule: ribosomal RNA, 639 nt
Filed under: uncultured Actinomycetes bacterium
Lineage: Bacteria; Bacillati; Actinomycetota; Actinomycetes
Description: bacterial SSU rRNA
Rfam family: Bacterial small subunit ribosomal RNA
Source: RNAcentral